Long non-coding RNA from Hemiscyllium ocellatum (epaulette shark), 887 nucleotides. RefSeq lists it as uncharacterized. The record is from RefSeq and is a predicted model, not a curated record. Lineage: Eukaryota; Metazoa; Chordata; Chondrichthyes; Orectolobiformes; Hemiscylliidae. The transcript is spliced from 3 exons.
AUCUGAAUGUCCUGAUCACACAGCCCCGCGCUGCUCAAUGACUCAAGGCAAAAAACUCCAGCCCUUUCCAACUCCUAUUCAAUACACACAGGCUAGGCAGCAGGAGACCUGGAUGUAUCGCUAUGUUCACCAGAUGAGGCUGCCGUUCGGAUCAGUCCUGGAUGGUAGACCGAUGACCUAAUUGUGGAAACUCUUGUCGAGAGGUUUAUUGAUCUGACAGGAUGAAGGACUUGAUUUAACAUCAGCAAAGGCCUAGGACACUGAGAAGGCUUGUGGUAUUCCCACAAAGAUCCUAGCUAAAGGCCUGUGCACUCAGCAGUGACGAGCAAUUAAACCUGGAUCUAUCCUAAUCUCGGCCCGGACAAUUACAAAGGCCAACCUCCCAUCUAUAGAAUCCAUCUAUCAGGACUGUUGUCAAGGAAAGGCCCCUAGCAUUCUCAAAGAUCCAUCCCACCCUGGCAAUGCUUUUCUACAACCUCUACCAUCGGGGAGAAGAUACAGAAGCCUGAACACAAACACCAGCCGAUUUUGUAACAGUUUCUAUUUUGCUGUUUUUAGAGUAAUGAUUAGACUCACAAUCUCUUAACAUUUACCUGAAUCUGCACUUUUGCUUUUGUCACUGUUUACCUAUUAUUUACUUAUCUAUGUUACUUAACUAUGUGAUCUGCCUAUAUUGCUCGCAAGACAAAACUUUUCACUGUGCCUCGGUAUCCGUGACAAUAAAUUCAAUUAAAAUCUCUCAUAUAUGUUUACUGGCUAUAUUCAGGACAGGGGAGUGCAUCCGAGGAGCAGGAAAAUUGAUGUUUCGGGCAAAAGCCCUUCAUCAGGAUAUUCAGAACAUCCCAGUAUUACAAUGUGCACCUCAAACAAGCAUUAACAUAUGCAAA